This 83-nucleotide small RNA is filed under the name Escherichia coli. RNAcentral describes it as "partial RtT sRNA". It matches the Rfam family "RtT RNA", at positions 50 to 130 of the family's 130-position model. From Rfam's summary of the family: This family represents a bacterial cis-regulatory element known as RtT RNA. Lineage: Bacteria; Pseudomonadati; Pseudomonadota; Gammaproteobacteria; Enterobacterales; Enterobacteriaceae. The record is from RNAcentral.
GAGCGCCAGCGAGAGAGCGUUGCCGCAGGCAACGACCCGAAGGGCGAAGCGCGCAGCGCUGAGUAAUCCUUCUCCCACCACCA